ACGCUGCUCACUUAGAGUCAUUCGGUGGGAAAAUAACUUUAUUUGAAAUCCAACAUCUAAAGGGAAACAAAGUUCAGCGUUAGGCAAGAACUUACAUUAUCGUUAGCCCCUAUUUAACUUGUACACGUAUUUGACAAAUAAAUGAUAACGAUGCUUCCUUUAGUGUCCAAUGCAUCAUCAUUAUAUAGCGCCUAGAAGGCAACUAUAUAAAUAGUCGAUUUCCAUUUUUCCGGAACGAUUCCAACAGUACUAUCGAUCAACUAUAUCUCUUCACCUUAUAAUUUCUAUUUUUAUUAUAUCGUAUAAAAUAUAGUCAAAUACUACAAUCAUGUUUCAGGCUUGUUUUAUUUCCAGUGGCAGCCGCUCUGGCGAAAGUCAAGCGGACGUCUGCUUUGUGGAAAGGAAGACAUACUCGUCUGCAUACAUAUGAGCUGUAUUGUACGUUUUUUCGCGGUGAAUUGAAAGCCUGUUUACAUUGUAUUUGAUUUUCUAUGAAAGUCAAUUUCCAUUUAUUUAUAUAGCACUACAACAAUUAUUAUCUGUCAUUCUUUACGCAAACUGUUUGCAUCGGUUAGUCUAUGACCUGACGGCAGAACUCGGUUGUAGUACAUCUUCAAGCCUGACUCAAAGGAAACCACGAAAAUGCUAGCUUCCUGAGAAAUUCUAGUAAGCUAAAAGUCAAAUGACGAUUCUCUAAUUGGGAUCUGCGUAGGUCCGAGCAUACUACCCUUACUAGCUAUUAACAGGCACAAUUUUCACCGCUCUUAAUUAUCCGCAUAUCUAACAUUGGCGUCUUUGUCACAUUUGUUUUUUCGUGACUGAAAGCAGCCCUUGCUAUUUUUUUUAACGGAGAACAGAACUCAGUCACCAAAGUGACGUGAUGAGGAAGCCUAUCGUGUAUUCUUAGACGCCUUUCGGAUUUAACAAUCUUGGCAUCUGGUACAACAUAAACUCAAACAGAGUCUUCCCUCUCGCUGGUGCCUUUGACGCGAGUUUUCGAUAAUGACUGGGGUAAGUUAGAAAACUAGGCGUUAGUUCAUAGCUUAUGAUGCUCUAAACCAGUAUCACGUAUAUAGUGUUUCAGGGAACGUUGUGCAGUACACUUUAGCCUUUUAUUUAUUGUUAUCUGGUAAUGAUUUUUAGGGGAAAAAUGCGGUCCAAGUUUUUUCUGCGUCACCCUGCUCACAUGUGAAACAGGCGAACAUGAUGUUCUCGCGGAUCUAAGCGUUGUUUGUUUCUGAUACACGCACUUUGUACUGGAUACAGAUAAUGUCCAGUAUAUUCGAGUCUCGAUUGGUAACCCCUGCCGUCCAGUGACAAGGCAUCAUGGAUGGUUUUUUUGAUGAAGCUUUGCGAUGUGUGAAACGCAGUCGAACUCUGUAAGAAAAUGUGAACCUUUUAGAACUAGGCAUGAUUGAUACACAGGACGCUUAUCU
Varroa destructor (honeybee mite) is the source of this 1436-nucleotide long non-coding RNA. NCBI's taxonomy places the organism in Eukaryota, Metazoa, Arthropoda, Arachnida, Mesostigmata, Varroidae. The record is from RefSeq and is a predicted model, not a curated record.